CCUUCGGGGUGCCCAGGCGCGAAAACUUUACAAUGCCGGCAACGGGCGAUAGGGAACCUCGAGUGCCAGGUUACAAAUCUGGCUGUCGUGAUGCCUAAAAAGCAUUGCAUAGCAAGGGCCGGGCAAGACCGGUGCCAGCCGCCGCGGUAACACCGGCGGCUCGAGUGGUAACCGUUAUUAUUGGGUCUAAAGGGUCUGUAGCCGGCCGGGUAAGUCUCUUGGGAAAUCUGGCAGCUUAACUGUCAGGCUUUCAGGAGAUACUGCCUGGCUCGAGGCCGGGAGAGGUGAGAGGUACUUCAGGGGUAGGGGUGAAAUCUUGCAAUCCUUGAAGGACCACCAGUGGCGAAGGCGUCUCACCAGAACGGACCUGACGGCAAGGGACGAAAGCUAGGGGCACGAACCGGAUUAGAUACCCGGGUAGUCCUAGCCGUAAACGAUACUCGCUAGGUGUCGGCCACGGUGCGACCGUGGUCGGUGCCGUAGGGAAGCCGUGAAGCGAGCCACCUGGGAAGUACGGCCGCAAGGCUGAAACUUAAAGGAAUUGGCGGGGGAGCAC
This 556-nucleotide ribosomal RNA is filed under the name uncultured archaeon. RNAcentral describes it as "bacterial SSU rRNA". It matches the Rfam family "Archaeal small subunit ribosomal RNA", at positions 322 to 879 of the family's 1478-position model. The record is from RNAcentral.